GACGAACGCUGGCGGCGUGCUUAACACAUGCAAGUCGAACGGUGACGGAGGAGCUUGCUCCUCCUGAUCGGUGGCGAACGGGUGAGUAACACGUGAGCAAUCUGCCCCUGACUCUGGGAUAACUGCGGGAAACUGUAGCUAAUACCGGAUACGACGCGCGAAGGCAUCUUCUGCGCGUGGAAAGAAUUUCGAUCAGGGAUGAGCUCGCGGCCUAUCAGCUUGUUGGUGAGGUAAUGGCUCACCAAGGCGACGACGGGUAGCCGGCCUGAGAGGGUGACCGGCCACACUGGGACUGAGACACGGCCCAGACUCCUACGGGAGGCAGCAGUGGGGAAUAUUGCACAAUGGGCGCAAGCCUGAUGCAGCAACGCCGCGUGAGGGACGACGGCCUUCGGGUUGUAAACCUCUUUUGGCAGGGAAGAAGCGAAAGUGACGGUACCUGCAGAAAAAGCACCGGCUAACUACGUG
RNAcentral lists this ribosomal RNA (468 nucleotides) under uncultured bacterium. RNAcentral's name for it is "partial 16S ribosomal RNA". It matches the Rfam family "Bacterial small subunit ribosomal RNA", at positions 28 to 507 of the family's 1533-position model. The record is from RNAcentral.